CCUACGGGAGGCAGCAGUAGGGAAUCUUCCACAAUGGGCGAAAGCCUGAUGGAGCAACGCCGCGUGGGUGAAGAAGGUCUUCGGAUCGUAAAACCCUGUUGUUAGAGAAGAAAGUGCGUGAGAGUAACUGUUCACGUUUCGACGGUAUCUAACCAGAAAGCCACGGCUAACUACGUGCCAGCAGCCGCGGUAAUACGUAGGUGGCAAGCGUUAUCCGGAUUUAUUGGGCGUAAAGGGAACGCAGGCGGUCUUUUAAGUCUGAUGUGAAAGCCUUCGGCUUAACCGGGGUAGUGCAUUGGAAACUGGGGGACUUGAGUGCAGAAGAGGAGGGGAGAACUCCAGGGGGAGGGGUGAAAUGCGUAGAUAUAUGGAAGAACACCAGGGGGGAAAGGGGCUCUCUGGUCUGUUACUGACGCUGAGGUUCGAAAGCGUGGGUAGCAAACAGGAUUAGAUACCCUGGUAGUC
Molecule: ribosomal RNA, 465 nt
Filed under: uncultured bacterium
Lineage: Bacteria
Description: partial 16S ribosomal RNA
Rfam family: Bacterial small subunit ribosomal RNA
Source: RNAcentral